AACCCAAUGUGAACCAUACCAAACUGUUGCCUCGGCGGGGUCACGCCCCGGGCGCGUCGCAGCCCCGGAACCAGGCGCCCGCCGGAGGGACCAACCAAACUCUUUUCUGUAGUCCCCUCGCGGACGUUAUUUCUUACAGCUCUGAGCAAAAAUUCAAAAUGAAUCAAAACUUUCAACAACGGAUCUCUUGGUUCUGGCAUCGAUGAAGAACGCAGCGAAAUGCGAUAAGUAAUGUGAAUUGCAGAAUUCAGUGAAUCAUCGAAUCUUUGAACGCACAUUGCGCCCGCCAGUAUUCUGGCGGGCAUGCCUGUCCGAGCGUCAUUUCAACCCUCGAACCCCUCCGGGGGGUCGGCGUUGGGGACCUCGGGAGCCCCUAAGACGGGAUCCCGGCCCCGAAAUACAGUGGCGGUCUCGCCGCAGCCUCUCCUGCGCAGUAGUUUGCACAACUCGCACCGGGAGCGCGGCGCGUCCACGUCCGUAAAACACCCAACUUCUGAAAUGUUGACCUCGGAUCAGGUAGGAAUACCCGCUGAACUUAAGCAUAUCAA
This 548-nucleotide ribosomal RNA is filed under the name Trichoderma atroviride. RNAcentral describes it as "eukaryotic LSU rRNA". The stretch from base 168 to 321 matches the Rfam family "5.8S ribosomal RNA". The record is from RNAcentral. Lineage: Eukaryota; Fungi; Ascomycota; Sordariomycetes; Hypocreales; Hypocreaceae.